CCUGCAGCUCUAGUCAGUUUCUUGUCCAGCUCUACUUGCCUCAUGAAUAUUAAUUGUUAGCCUAAAUGAGGUUCAUUCAAUAGGUAGUUGUUGGUAACUGAGCAAAGUCAGCUGGUAUUACUUUGUUCACCCUGACAAAUGUCUGUGUAAGUGACAGAACAGUCACAGAAAGUCCUAUUUGAAUAAACUUAUGGAUAUUCAUAAAAAAAUAACAUUUCUUUUGUCCUAGUUUGUGCUCUUUUACUCUUCAGGCUGACAGACAGCUGUAAAGCACGUGCGGGGAGAUCCACGUAUGGUCCCGGCACUUUGUCUGUGGAUCCUAACGGUGCACCCAUGGCGUAUCAUGGGCGGAAUAAGCCGAAGAGCUUCCCAAAACGUACAGCUGUCCAUCGAGAGCGGCUGCUGCAGGUGAGAGGUGCGGUCUGCAGCAGGUCUCCAAACCCCGUCCACAUUGGCUGCAACAUCCAGCCAUGACCAAUCGCUGUCCCGAAACCAGCAUCAUGUGUGUGUGUUUAGAGCAGCCGUGAACCGGGUCAUAAAACCACAGACUCAGACAGAAGUGUAGGUGAGAGUCGCAGCUGCCCAACACAAACAUCUCUCCGUUCAACACGGCCGCGGAGUGACCACAGAGAGGAGCGUUCAGAGGAUGAGACCAGCUGUGAGGCCUGAUAUUUAAUGACCAUACAGUAUCUUGCAUAGCUCAGUUUGCUGUUAGAAUGACAAAACGUUUAGUUAAAAUAUUAAAAGUUACAUGGUGUAAUGCCAUAUAUGGCACGCGCAGUUCACGCUGAGGCAUGUCAAUAAAGUGUCAUAUUGAUUCAGCUCAUGCUUGUUUAUUGCAUCAUACACAAACAGUUACAUUUUUAGGAUAGUUAGUCAUCCUCCCUUGUCAAAAUGAUUAAGAAUCAAAUUAAAGAAGACAGAUGCCAAUAGAGUGGGGGAGCUAUGACGUCACUCUGUAGGCGGAUCAGCUGUUAGCAUGACACUGGUUCAGACCCUCGACAAAAUGCCUACAGGAUUUUUCCAUAGGCUUUUGGAUUAUCGCAAAAAUAAGCUCUGUGUUCAAACAUAG
Cyprinus carpio carpio is the source of this 1072-nucleotide long non-coding RNA. NCBI's taxonomy places the organism in Eukaryota, Metazoa, Chordata, Actinopteri, Cypriniformes, Cyprinidae. The record is from Ensembl.